Molecule: ribosomal RNA, 497 nt
Filed under: uncultured bacterium
Lineage: Bacteria
Description: partial 16S ribosomal RNA
Rfam family: Bacterial small subunit ribosomal RNA
Source: RNAcentral
GAUGAACGCUGGCGGCGUGCCUAAUACAUGCAAGUCGAGCGAACAGACGAGGAGCUUGCUCCUCUGACGUUAGCGGCGGACUGGUGAGUAACACGUGGAUAACCUACCUAUAAGACUGGGAUAACUUCGGGAAACCGGAGCUAAUACCGGAUAACAUGUUGAACCGCAUGGUUUAACAGUGAAAGACGGUCUUGCUGUCACUUAUAGAUGGAUCCGCGCCGCAUUAGCUAGUUGGUAAGGUAACGGCUUACCAAGGCAACGAUGCGUAGCCGACCUGAGAGGGUGAUCGGCCACACUGGAACUGAGACACGGUCCAGACUCCUACGGGAGGCAGCAGUAGGGAAUCUUCCGCAAUGGGCGAAAGCCUGACGGAGCAACGCCGCGUGAGUGAAGAAGGUCUUCGGAUCGUAAAACUCUGUUAUUAGGGAAGAACAAAUGUGUAAGUAACUAUGCACGUCUUGACGGUACCUAAUCAGAAAGCCACGGCUAACUACGUG